Molecule: ribosomal RNA, 43 nt
Filed under: Isochrysis galbana
Lineage: Eukaryota; Haptophyta; Isochrysidales; Isochrysidaceae
Description: partial 5.8S ribosomal RNA
Source: RNAcentral
UUCUUGAUGUCGGAUACGAGCCGGGGCAACUACGGGUGCUCAC